Long non-coding RNA from Sinocyclocheilus grahami, 315 nucleotides. RefSeq lists it as uncharacterized. Lineage: Eukaryota; Metazoa; Chordata; Actinopteri; Cypriniformes; Cyprinidae. The record is from RefSeq and is a predicted model, not a curated record. The transcript is spliced from 3 exons.
AGUGCCAUCCUCGCCAGUGAUGCUGUCGCUGUGACGUUUGCAGACCACACUCUGGGAGUGAUGAGUUGGAGCAUCCCUAUUGCGGUUGCUUUAUCCUGUUACGGAGGUCUUAAUGCUUCCAUCAUUGCUGCAUCCAGGGAGCUUCUCUAUUGCUCACACCAUCUGGAGCUGCUUUGUGGUAAUGACCGUGUGGGGGUUCACGCCACUAUUCCAUGUGUCAGAUAAUGUGGUGUGCUGAGGAUUUUUGGGAGUGAUGAGAACCUACAUCCAGUGCUGAUGGGAAUUCAGAAGAUCUGAGAACUUAAAUUCCUGUUU